GACAGAGGGUGCAAGCGUUACUCGGAAUUACUGGGCGUAAAGAGCGUGUAGGCGGUCUAUUAAGUCCACUGUGAAAGCCCCCGGCUCAAUCGGGGAAGUGCAGUGGAUACUGCUAGACUAGAGUGCAGGAGAGGAGAGUGGAAUUCCCGGUGUAGAGGUGAAAUUCGUAGAUAUCGGGAGGAACAACAGAGGCGAAGGCGGCUCACUGGACUGCAACUGACGCUCAGGCGCGAAAGCGUGGGGAGCAAACAGG
RNAcentral lists this ribosomal RNA (253 nucleotides) under uncultured bacterium. Its description in RNAcentral is "partial 16S ribosomal RNA". It matches the Rfam family "Bacterial small subunit ribosomal RNA", at positions 524 to 776 of the family's 1533-position model. The record is from RNAcentral.